Molecule: small nucleolar RNA, 207 nt
Organism: Suncus etruscus (white-toothed pygmy shrew)
Lineage: Eukaryota; Metazoa; Chordata; Mammalia; Eulipotyphla; Soricidae
Product: small nucleolar RNA U3
Exons: 1
Source: RefSeq, a predicted model, not a curated record
AAGAUUAUACUUUCAGGGUUCAUUUCUAUGGUUCAUUAGUAGAGAAAAUUUUCUGAUUGUGUAGAGCACCUGAAACCACAGGAGGAGUUGGAACAUCCUGUCCUGAGCGUGAAGCCUCUUCUAGGUGUUGCUUUCACAACUAUCACUUAUUAUUGAUAGUUCUCUUCCCUUGGAAGAAGGAGAGGAAGAGGAUGCAGCCCGAGUUGU